GAUGAACGCUGGCGGCGUGCUUAACACAUGCAAGUCGAACGAUGAAGCCCAGCUUGCUGGGUGGUUUAGUGGCGAACGGGUGAGUAACACGCGAGUAACCUGCCCUUCACUCUGGGAUAAGUCUGGUAGACUGGGCCUAAUACUGGCUAUGUCUUCUCUUCGCCCGGUGGGGGGUGGAGAGAUUUAUUGGUUUUGGAUGGCCUCGCGGCCUAUCCGCUUGUUGGUGAGGUAUUGGCUCACCAAGGCGACGCCGGGUAGCCGGCCUGAGAGGGGGACCGGCCACACUGGGACUGAGAGACGGCGCAGACUCCUACGGGAGGCAGCAGCGGGGAAUAUUGCGCAAUGGGCGCAAGCCUGAUGCAGCGACGCCGCGUGAGGGAUGACGGCCUUCGGGUUGUAAACCUCUUUCAGUAGGGAAGAAGCGAGAGUGACGGUACCUGCAGAAGAAGCGCCGGCUAACUACGUG
RNAcentral lists this ribosomal RNA (466 nucleotides) under uncultured bacterium. RNAcentral describes it as "partial 16S ribosomal RNA". It matches the Rfam family "Bacterial small subunit ribosomal RNA", at positions 28 to 507 of the family's 1533-position model. The record is from RNAcentral.